This 3204-nucleotide long non-coding RNA is filed under the name Sus scrofa (pig). Its description in RNAcentral is "lncRNA (ENSSSCG00000063425.1)". Lineage: Eukaryota; Metazoa; Chordata; Mammalia; Artiodactyla; Suidae. The record is from RNAcentral.
AUAACUUACUAGGCUUUCAAUGGUAAAGGUAAUAUCUUCCCUGGGGACCUUUUAGGUAUUCUCAUCUGGGCUUUUUUAACCUCCCAUUUAGGACAGCUCAGAAUUUGCCAAAUAUUUUGAAGGGGAAACAAGUCGGGUAUCUCAGACCCUCUGGUUCUCCAGCCCUGCAAGAUUGCCAAAAGCACUGCUGGUUCCUCUGUCCCUAGCAGCAUUCUUCUGCCAAGGUAAAGCCCAGAGUAUCAUUCUCACCUUCACCCGGAACCAGCAAAUGCCUCCAGGGGAAGGAGCAGCUACAGACCAUAUUUUACCUCUCAGUUCUCUCUUCUCGAAUCUUAGUUCCUUUAGUUGUCUUUGUUUCAGCCCCUCUCUGAUAUUUUUAAACAAAUACUUUUUGUACUUUGUCCAGCUUUGCUAGUCGUUCUUGGCAGGAGCGCAGAUCUGCCACAAACGACUCUGUUCUGUCUGGAAGCAGAAUUCCAGUGAGUUUUUAAUUUCUCUUAAUAUAUUUUUCAUUUCAGGAAGUUUUAUUUUGUUCACUCCCAAACCCAUUUGGUCAUUUUUGUGAUGUCUUGCUCCUACCUCAUCUUUUUAACCCCUUUUAAAUUUUCUUGUAUGUUUUAAACAUGCUUAUUCUAUACUUCCGAUUAUUUCAAUAUCUCAAGUAUUUACUGCUCCAAUUUUGAUAUUAUUUCUGCUGGCUUCAUUUAUCUUUGCUUUUUGUUUAUAUAUUUCCUGAUUCAUGAAUGUGGGCUUAUAUGUCCUAAAAUUAGUCUCUGUGGGACUCUUUCCCCCCGCCCCCACUUUUUAGGGUAGCAUCUGUAGCACAUUAAGUUCCCAGCCUAGGGAUCGAAUCAGAGUUGCAGGUGUCAACCUACACCACAGCUCGCGGCAACGCAGGAUCCUUAACCCACUGAGUGAGGCCAGGAAUCAAACCCGUGUCCUCAUGGAUACUAGUCGGAUUUGUUUCUGCCGAGCCACAACAGGCACUUUCUCUGUGGGACUUUUCAAGGCCUGAAUUGAAGAUGGGUUCCUUCAUAGAGAUUUAGUAUUUGCUUCUGCCUGGGAACAUGUACAGGCCUUAGCACACUUUAAAAUCUUAAUUUGAAUAUUAUUGGUCCACUUAAAAAUAAUAAUUUGGGGUGAAAAUCCACACGAGGUCUAGCUUCUGUUUAUAAAAUUCAUAGAAGGAAUUUUUUUUUGUAUUUUCCAUUCAAGGUCUGAGUUUAAUAUUUCUCUUUGUGGCUGGGCCUGGGUUUUGUCCACUAUCCCCUGCUCCAUUAGGAGGCAUGAAAACCAAAGCUCAACUUUACCUCUGUCAUAAGUCAGAUGCUCUCAAGGUAAAAACUGUCCUUUGUGCUUCACCUAUCAUUAAGGGUUCCCAGUUUUACUUAGGUUUUGGGCCUCAGUAUUCCUUACUGACUUACCAAAAUAAUGAUGCAUUUGAGAGGUUGUUUGUCAUUUUCUGUCCUACAUGUUUGGUUGUUCACUGUGGGAGGUUCUGGGUCCAUCACAGUAGAAAACAGUAGUCAGGCCUGAAUAUUAUUUACACACACACACAUACUGCUAAUAAAUGUUCUGAAUUUAAUAUCACUUGUAUACAUGAUUAAAAGGAAUAGAUAAUAAAUUUACCUUCAGGAUCAUAAUUGCAGCUCUUUGUCCCCACCAGUAACUACAAGCAGUUUUUCAUUAGAGAAAAGAAAAUGAUUGAAUAAUCCAAAUUAGCCUGGGCAAGAAAACUAACAGCUGCCUAAAAUGAAAUGUUUGAGUUAUGAGCCAUGUGCCACUUUGGUUUAUCUGCAGCCAAAAGGUUCAGAAUCCUUAUUCAAUUAACCACGUUGCUUGGGAGGGCCUGGUUGCCCUGAAUGAGAGCUGCCUGGUGAUGAGUAAGAGGUAUCCGUGACACACAAGUUCAGACCUUGCAACUCUGUUUUUGUUGUUUGAACUUUCUUCUUUGUUGUAGCUAGGGAUCCGGCAUGGAAUUUAAACACUUGUGUGGUAACUCCAUUCCUUCAGCCAUUGUGUUGUUAAGCUCUAGCUAACGAACUUUUAACACUGGUUCCAUGUAAGGUAAGACUUAGAAAAAAGCAGCAGUCAACGUUUCUGGUUUUAUAAAUAAAACCAUAUGAUGUGUCUUUAGCAAAGUAAGAUACUCCUGCAUAUCUAGUCCAGCCACUCCCCCCCAAAAAAUAGCCUUCAAAAUAUAUUUGAAAAAUAAAGAAAUAAACCAAGGUGCACCUAAGAAAGCUUAAAUUAAGAAGUGGCUUUCAUUUCAGAAAAUCUCACCUACUGUAACAGAAACUUCAAAAUGUAUACCUGUUUUGAAACUUGGGAACUUUGCAUAAAAGAGAGAUGCUAAAAUUACGUAAUAUUUGAAAAGGUGAGAGCUGCCAAACGCACCAGUCAAGUAUACUUUGUCUCGUGUGGAAUUUUCUUCCAUGCCAACAGUUUCUGUUGCUUAGGGAGACCCUCCUGGUGGUGCCACAAAGAAUGUUUCUCAAACCCAUAUAGAUUAUGUACACAUUGGCUUGCUAAAGACAAGUUUGAUUUUAAAUCUCUCAACUUCAUUUUGCUUCUUAAUAUACUGUUUUGAAACAAAAACCAGAUGACUAAAAGAGAGGAAACAAUUUUUUCUUCAAUUCGUAAACCAGCUCUGAAGAUAAUUCUGGAGGAGAAAAUUCAAAUAUGGUUUGAACAGCGAUGUAGUAGUUUGACAAAAUAGCUCAGUAUUACUGCUUUAAAGAAUGGCUCUUUAGUUGAAUGGUACACUGAUUACUAGUAUCUUACAUCAUAGUCAUCAUUUUACAAAGUUAAAUUUGUUUUUGCAUAUUUUCUUAAAUUGUGGUCAUAUUGUAAAGAGUAAUUGUGAACUUUUAUUUAGGUGACAUAGAGGAAUGUGAAUAGGUAAUCUUGUUUGUCAAUUGGAAGUGAGGAAAAACUUGAAAUCAGAAGUUUUCUGGGAGUUCCCUUUAUGGCUCAGCAGAAACAAACCCGACUUGUCAGCUAGUAUCCAUGAGGAUGCAGGUUCGAUCUCUGGCCUGGAUCAGCGGGUUAAGUAUCCAGUGUUGCGUGAGCUAUGGUAUAUGUUGCAAACAUGGCGCAGAUCCCUCGUUGCUGUGGCUGUGGCGUAGGCUGGCAGCGGUACCUCCAAUUCAACCCCUAGCCUGGCAACUUCCAUAUAUAUGCCACAGGUGCAGCCCUAAAAAG